UUUCCCCAAACUACCAGGGGUAUGCGCAAGGCCGUCAGGGGUACCCUGAAUAAAAAUGUGAUUCACUUAAAAAAAUUAAAAUAAACAGUAUGUUUAUAUUUUCCAACGGGGCUAUACAUUUGGGUGAUACAGGUAGCCUAGUAAAAUAAUUAACAUCCACUCACAUAAACCGUUACUCUCUCGCGGGAAACCUUCACUCUUGCGCAGACAUUUAGAAAUGAAACACGACCAUUUGAAGAAUAAGCCACGGAAGCGUCUUAUAUGGUGAGCUACCGAGUGGCUAAGACAUGCAAGCCCCAUACUACUGUGGUGGACUGGCUAAGACAGGCAAGCCCCAUACCACUGUGGGGGACUGGCUAAGACAGGCAAGCCCCAUACUACUGUGGAGGACUGGCUAAGACAGGCAAGCCCCCAUACUACUGUGGAGGACUGGCUAAGACAGGCAAGCCCCAUACUACUGUGGUGGACUGGCUAAGACAGGCAAGCCCCAUACCACUGUGGGGGACUGGCUAAGACAGGCAAGCCCCAUACUACUGUGGUGGACUGGCUAAGACAGGCAAGCCCCAUACUACUGUGGGGGACUGGCUAAGACAUGCAAGCCCCAUACUACUGUGGUGGACUGGCUAAGACAGGCAAGCCCCAUACUACUGUGGAGGACUGGCUAAGACAGGCAAGCCCCAUACUACUGUGGUGGACUGGCUAAGACAGGCAAGCCCCAUACUACUGUGGGGGACUGGCUAAGACAGGCAAGCCCCAUACUACUGUGGGGGACUGGCUAAGACAUGCAAGCCCCAUACUACUGUGGGGGACUGGCUAAGACAGGCAAGCCCCAUACCACUGUGGAGGACUGGCUAAGACAGGCAAGCCCCAUACCACUGUGGAGGACUGGCUAAGACAGGCAAGCCCCAUACCACUGUGGAGGACUGGCUAAGACAGGCAAGCCCCAUACUACUGUGGAGGACUGGCUAAGACAGGCAAGCCCCAUACUACUGUGGAGGACUGGCUAAGACAGGCAAGCCCCAUACUACUGUGGAGGACUGGCUAAGACAGGCAAGCCCCAUACCACUGUGGAGGACUGGCUAAGACAGGCAAGCCCCAUACUACUGUGGAGGACUGGCUAAGACAGGCAAGCCCCAUACUACUGUGGAGGACUGGCUAAGACAGGCAAGCCCCCAUACUACUGUGGAGGACUGGCUAAGACAGGCAAGCCCCAUACUACUGUGGAGGACUGGCUGACAGGCAAGCCCCAUACCACUGUGGAGGACUGGCUUAGACAGGCAAGCCCCAUACUACUGUGGAGGACUGGCUAAGACAGGCAAGCCCCAUACUACUGUGGAGGACUGGCUAAGACAGGCAAGCCCCAUACUACUGUGGAGGACUGGCUAAGACAGGCAAGCCCCCAUACUACUGUGGAGGACUGGCUAAGACAGGCAAGCCCCAUACUACUGUGGAGGACUGGCUAAGACAGGCAAGCCCCCAUACUACUGUGGGGACUGGCUAAGACAGGCAAGCCCCAUACUACUGUGGAGGACUGGCUAAGACAGGCAAGCCCCAUACUACUGUGGAGGACUGGCUAAGACAGGCAAGCCCCAUACCACUGUGGAGGACUGGCUAAGACAGGCAAGCCCCAUACUACUGUGGAGGACUGGCUAAGACAGGCAAGCCCCAUACUACUGUGGAGGACUGGCUAAGACAGGCAAGCCCCCAUACUACUGUGGAGGACUGGCUAAGACAGGCAAGCCCCAUACUACUGUGGAGGACUGGCUAAGACAGGCAAGCCCCAUACCACUGUGGAGGACUGGCUUAGACAGGCAAGCCCCAUACUACUGUGGAGGACUGGCUAAGACAGGCAAGCCCCAUACUACUGUGGAGGACUGGCUAAGACAGGCAAGCCCCAUACUACUGUGGAGGACUGGCUAAGACAGGCAAGCCCCCAUACUACUGUGGAGGACUGGCUAAGACAGGCAAGCCCCAUACUACUGUGGAGGACUGGCUAAGACAGGCAAGCCCCCAUACUACUGUGGAGGACUGGCUAAGACAGGCAAGCCCCAUACUACUGUGGAGGACUGGCUAAGACAGGCAAGCCCCAUACUACUGUGGAGGACUGGCUAAGACAGGCAAGCCCCAUACUACUGUGGAGGACUGGCUAAGACAGGCAAGCCCCCAUACUACUGUGGAGGACUGGCUAAGACAGGCAAGCCCCAUACUACUGUGGAGGACUGGCUAAGACAGGCAAGCCCCAUACCACUGUGGAGGACUGGCUUAGACAGGCAAGCCCCAUACUACUGUGGAGGACUGGCUAAGACAGGCAAGCCCCAUACUACUGUGGAGGACUGGCUAAGACAGGCAAGCCCCAUACUACUGUGGAGGACUGGCUAAGACAGGCAAGCCCCCAUACUACUGUGGAGGACUGGCUAAGACAGGCAAGCCCCAUACUACUGUGGAGGACUGGCUAAGACAGGCAAGCCCCAUACUACUGUGGAGGACUGGCUAAGACAGGCAAGCCCCAUACUACUGUGGAGGACUGGCUAAGACAGGCAAGCCCCAUACUACUGUGGAGGACUGGCUAAGACAGGCAAGCCCCAUACUACUGUGGAGGACUGGCUAAGACAGGCAAGCCCCAUACUACUGUGGAGGACUUAAUUCUUCCUGCUGCCGUGGAUAUGGCUGGGACAAUGCUGGGGGAAAAGGACAAAAAAAUGAUAGACAAUGCCUUCAUCAAACAGCACUGUUUCACAACGCAUCAGUGACAUGGCAGAUGUUUUGAAACAAGUGCUGCUUCGCAUACAAGCCAGUAAAUUCUAUGCGUUACAGCUGGAUGAGUCAACAGAAGUGGCGGGCCUGGCACAGCUCCUGGUAUAUGUCCAUUAUGUUUGAGGGGUCAGUUAAGGAAAACAUCCUCUUCUGCAAACCACUGGAAACCAGGACAACAUGAGAGGAUAUUUUUAAAGUACUGGACAGCUUUGUGACAUCAAAUGGACUUUGGUGGUCAAGAUGUGUUGGUAUCUGUACUGAUGGUGCAAAAGCCAUGACAGGGAGACAUAGUGGAGUGGUAACGCGCGUGCAAGCAGUUGCUCCCGACACCACUUGGGAACACUGCAGCAUCCACCGAGAGGCUCUUGGGUACACUGCAGCAUCCACCGAGAGGCUCUUGGGUACACUGCAGCAUCCACCGAGAGGCUCUAGGGUACACUGCAGCAUCCACCGAGAGGCUCUUGGGUACACUGCAGCAUCCACCUAGAGGCUCUUGGGUACACUGCAGCAUCCACCUAGAGGCUCUUGGGUACACUGCAGCAUCCACUGAGAGGCUCUUGGGUACACUGCAGCAUCCACCGAGAGGCUCUAGGGUACACUGCAGCAUCCACCUAGAGGCUCUAGGGUACACUGCAGCAUCCACCGAGAGGCUCUAGGGUACACUGCAGCAUCUACCUAGAGGCUCUUGGGUACACUGCAGCAUCCACCGAGAGGCUCUAGGGUACACUGCAGCAUCCACCGAGAGGCUCUUGGGUACACUGCAGCAUCCACCUAGAGGCUCUUGGGUACACUGCAGCAUCCACCGAGAGGCUCUAGGGUACACUGCAGCAUCCACCGAGAGGCUCUAGGGUACACUGCAGCAUCCACCUAGAGGCUCUUGGGUACACUGCAGCAUCCACCGAGAGGCUCUAGGGUACACUGCAGCAUCCACGAGAGGCUCUUGGGUACACUGCAGCAUCCACCGAGAGGCUCUAGGGUACACUGCAGCAUCCACCGAGAGGCUCUUGGGUACACUGCAGCAUCCACCUAGAGGCUCUUGGGUACACUGCAGCAUCCACCGAGAGGCUCUUGGGUACACUGCAGCAUCCACCGAGAGGCUCUUGGGUACACUGCAGCAUCCACCGAGAGGCUCUUGCUGCCAAAGGACUGCCUGACAGCUUGGACACUACAGUGAAAAUGGUUUACUCUGUUAAAUCAAGACCCCUGAACUCUCGUGUAUUUUCUGCAUUAUGCAAUGAUAUGGGCAGCGACCAUGUAACACUUUUACAACAUAUAGACGUGCGCUGGUUAUCAAGGGGCAAAGUAUUGGCAGGUUUUUUUUUAAAUUGAGAGACUAGCUUAAAGUUUUCUUUACUAACCAUCAUUUUCACUUGUCUGACUGCUUGCAUGAAGAAGAGUUUCUCACAUGACUGGCCUGUCUGGGUGAUGUCUUUUCUCACCUGAAUGAUCUGAAUCUAGGAUUACAGGGACUCUCCAACUGUAUUCAAUGUGCGGGACAAAAUUGAGGCUAUGGUUAAGAAGUUGGAGAUCUUCUCUGUCUGUAUUAACAAGGACAACACACAGGUCUUCCAUCAUUGUAUGAUUUGUUUGUGUGCAAAUUAACUCAAGCUUAUGGACAAAGUCAAAUGUGAUAUAGCGGAGCACCUGAGAGAGUUGGGUGAGCAAUUACGCAGGUACUUUCCCAAAACAGAUGACACAAACAACUGGAUUCAUUAUCCCUUUCAUGCCCUGCCUCCAGUCCACUUACCGAUAUCUGAACAAGGAAGCCUCAUCGAUAUUGCAACAAGUGGUUCUGUGAAAAUUGAAUUUAAUCAGAAGCCACUGCCAGAUUUCCGGAAUAGGGCUGUGCUCAGAGUAUCCUGCCUUGGCAAAUCACAGACACUGAUGGCCUUUGCAACCACGUACCUACGUGAGAGUGGAUUCUCAGCCCUCACUAGCAUGAAAACUAAAUACAGACACAGACUGUGUGGAAAAUGAUUUAAAGACAGGUUGUAUUGGAGAGUCUAACUGUGCAGCGUUAUGUGCAUCCUUUCAAGCACACAUCAUUAACCUGUGGUGAGUUAUUCACAAUUUUUAAUGAACAAAUAAGGUUUUAUAUGUAAGAUGGUUAAAUAAAGAGCAAUAUUAUUGAUUAUUAUUAUUUGUGCCUUGGUCCUAAAGAGCUCUUUGUCACUUCCCACGAGCUGGGUUAUGAUGACAACUUACACUCAUUGUUAUGUUUAAUAAAUGUAUUGAAUAGUGUGUGUGUGUGUGGCAGGCUUACAACGAUGGCACAAAACAACAUUUGAGAGUGCGCUGACCCUGGUGCCAGAGGGGGUACAGCUGACCCUGGUGCCAGAUGGGGUACUCAGCUGGAGGUUGAAUGUUUGAAUGGGUACAGGACUAUAAAAAGUUUGGGAACCACUGAUCUGAGUGAUUCUACGUAUUUAAAAGGUUAAUAGCUGUGUGUUGAUGUGAGUGAUUCUACGUAUUUAAAAGGUUAAUAGCUGUGUGUUGAUGUGAGUGAUUCUACGUAUUUAAAAGGUUAAUAGCUGUGUGUUGAUGUGAGUGAUUCUACGUAUUUAAAAGGUUAAUAGCUGUGUGUUGAUGUGAGUGAUUCUACGUAUUUAAAAGGUUAAUAGCUGUGUGUUGAUGUGAGUGAUUCUACGUAUUUAAAAGGUUAAUAGCUGUGUGUUGAUGUGAGUGAUUCUACGUAUUUAAAAGGUUAAUAGCUGUGUGUUGAUGUGAGUGAUUCUACGUAUUUAAAAGGUUAAUAGCUGUGUGUUGAUGUGAGUGAUUCUACGUAUUUAAAAGGUUAAUAGCUGUGUGUUGAUGUGAGUGAUUCUACGUAUUUAAAAGGUUAAUAGCUGUGUGUUGAUGUGAGUGAUUCUACGUAUUUAAAAGGUUAAUAGCUGUGUGUUGAUGUGAGUGAUUCUACGUAUUUAAAAGGUUAAUAGCUGUGUGUUGAUGUGAGUGAUUCUACGUAUUUAAAAGGUUAAUAGCUGUGUGUUGAUGUGAGUGAUUCUACGUAUUUAAAAGGUUAAUAGCUGUGUGUUGAUGUGAGUGAUUCUACGUAUUUAAAAGGUUAAUAGCUGUGUGUUGAUGUGAGUGAUUCUACGUAUUUAAAAGGUUAAUAGCUGUGUGUUGAUGUGAGUGAUUCUACGUAUUUAAAGGGAAUGAAGUGGAGUGUCUAAUCCUCCUGCUGUAUCUCCAGGAGAUCAGUGAAGAGUUGAGAUACUGCGAUUGGUUGGAACCAUGUCCGUGGAAUGUUUUCAUUGUUGUGUGGCCCCUGACCCCUGUGUUGUGAUGGUUCA
Molecule: long non-coding RNA, 6047 nt
Organism: Oncorhynchus keta (chum salmon)
Lineage: Eukaryota; Metazoa; Chordata; Actinopteri; Salmoniformes; Salmonidae
Exons: 4
Source: RefSeq, a predicted model, not a curated record